GACGAAUGCUGGCGGCGUGCUUAACACAUGCGAGUCGAACGGAAAGGCCCUGCUUUUGUGGGGUGCUCGAGUGGCGAACGGGUGAGUAACACGUGAGUAACCUGCCCUUGACUUUGGGAUAACUUCAGGAAACUGGGGCUAAUACCGGAUAGGAGCUCCUGCUGCAUGGUGGGGGUUGGAAAGUUUCGGCGGUUGGGGAUGGACUCGCGGCUUAUCAGCUUGUUGGUGGGGUAGUGGCUUACCAAGGCUUUGACGGGUAGCCGGCCUGAGAGGGUGACCGGCCACAUUGGGACUGAGAUACGGCCCAGACUCCUACGGGAGGCAGCAGUGGGGAAUAUUGCACAAUGGGCGGAAGCCUGAUGCAGCAACGCCGCGUGCGGGAUGACGGCCUUCGGGUUGUAAACCGCUUUCGCCUGUGACGAAGCGUGAGUGACGGUAAUGGGUAAAGAAGCACCGGCUAACUACGUG
This 468-nucleotide ribosomal RNA is filed under the name uncultured bacterium. Its description in RNAcentral is "partial 16S ribosomal RNA". It matches the Rfam family "Bacterial small subunit ribosomal RNA", at positions 28 to 507 of the family's 1533-position model. The record is from RNAcentral.